AACAAAAAAAAAACAUCAAAAACCACCUAUACGGCGAUACGUGUUCGAUUCUGGAUGGCUUCAUAGCCGUGAUCUGGUGGUCGCCGGCUCGCCGAUCUCUGCUCCCGCGGCGGCGCCAUUGCUAGCGCCCCGUCGGCCGGCACCCUCCUCUCCGCCUCCGCCCCCACGCUCCGAAUCCAUGGAUGGCUACCACCGCACACUCCGCCCCCCGCACUCCAGCCGCCCUCCGCGCUCUUGCCCUUCCCCCCACCGGAGAAGGCGGCAACACUGCAAGCUAGGUAGCAGCGACGACCUUGCUACCGGCUCGCCUCAUCAGCCAUAGCGGCAGCCUCCCGAUCCCCCCAGGGUGAGCAUCCGAUCUUCGAUUUAAAUUAUUAUCACGGAUGAACGGCGACUGCCUGAUAGCUUCUUCAGUGAACUGAUAUUUCUCUUUAUAAAGCCGAACAGUUUCUGCAUGAGCAAGUAGUUGGUGAUGGCAUGCAGUGUAAGGCUCCCUUCCUGAAUCUCCAACUCUGCAUUUUCCCUUCUCCCAGGAUGAACACCGGCCUGGUGCCAUGGUGCCAGAUGCAUAGCCCAUAGAGCAGAAGUUCCAAGGCUCAUUGAAGUAGCUGAAAAGACUAUCACAAGGGAGCACUAUUGAGGCUGGUGUCAGUGGAAACAGGGGUUAAAUCCUGUCCAAAGCAAAACCCGUCCUGACUCCCUUUCCAAAAAUAGCAGUAAACAAUAUUCGCGACAAAAAUCGGAAAGAGAACUCCAAAAGCUGUUGGCAUUGAAAUUUCGGGUAUUCUAAUUGAUAUGCAUGAUGACGUUGACAAUAUUUUUAACUGAAGUAGGUAGCACGGUCCCUAGUAUUUUGAAGUUAGUGUUUAUUUAACAUGGUCAGCAAAAGGUACUGAAGAAUUGUUGACUUACAUGAUAUUAGGGCUAAGAAAUCCUUUAUAUUUAUCUUCCAGUGCCUGAGGUGUAUCAAAAUGGAAUAGGGUAGCAAAUGGUUGGACCUCUGCAAAUGUAUAAGAUUAUUUUGCAUCUUGAAUAAAGAAAUCUGGUUGUCACAAGUUGCAUCUAGUGACUGAACUUGAAACUAAAUAGUGAAGACUAGACAUGCAUACCUUUUGAUAAUAGUUCAUUGAUCAAAUUGUUGUAGUAGUUGAUGCCUUCUCUGUUGACUCCACCGCUGAGACUUCCAUCUGCCAUGACAGGGAGAUUUUAACCCUGGUGGGAUCACCUUGGAGAUUGAAAAAGAAAUGCAGAAUAUUGUGCUUGAGAACAAAAGAGAAAAUGUCUUUAAAUAAGCUGUCUGUUAGUAAAUCUAUGACAGUGCAUUGUAUCUACUACCUCCAUCCCAAAAUAUUUGGGAUUUAUAUGGGCAAAAUCCCUUAUAUUUUGGGACGGAUGUAUUAUCAUUUUAUUUCUAAAAGAUAUAGUCAUGUACUUGGAAGAAUUCUUGACCACGAGAUGGAAAACCUGUAUGCAUCCAUUCCCAUCUCCUUCAUAAUGCGCACAUCUUCCUGCAAUUUUUUUUGGUGAUCAGGCCCUCAGGCCUCAGGAUGAGUACUAAAUUAGUCAUUUUAAAGAAGAGAAUUAAAGUUUUAAGAGAUUGUGGCAGAGGAAGACUGGCAAACAUGGAGUGUAUAUUUAAUUAAAACCCUUACUCCCUCCAUUCCUAAAUGAUCUUCGCAUUACCAAAAGUAAAAAGUUUCAAUUUGACCUUCGUAUUUCAUUAGGAAGCAGCAGAAAUCAUGGGUAGACGAUAAUGGUGCUUCGUAUUAAGCAGCACUACAUGCAUGCAUUGGCUCUGUGAGAGUUAAGUUGGGAGCUGCUGCAUGCGUGGAAUUAAUGCAUUAUAGCUGAUUGGCUGGUGCAUGCGGCAUGCAAAAUUGAUGAAGCGACAUGCACGGAUAGAUGGGAUAGUAACUGCUCCUUGGUCUUGCUGCUUAGGUGAAAUAUGAAGAUCAUUUAGGAAUGGAGGGAGUACUAAAGUCAAUGCUAGUUGCCAAUACCUUGUAGAGAUGGUAGCUAUUGCAAGCACCAUCCCCGUUGCUCUUGUCGGUGAUUUUGUCUGCCAAAUUAGAGAAUUGUCAAUCCAAAAUAAUGUAAUGACCUUUUAUUUCUGGCCAUUUAUAGUCAGCAUGCCUGGAUACUGAUGUGUGAAGGUGUCCCAGAUGCUUGGUCCUCUGCCACCCUUCGCCGCGGCACCCUCAAACUGCAUCAUGUGUGAAACAGCAGUCAAUUUGUCAGGUUUCAGAUCUGAAACAGAGCACAUCGUGAUGAGAUGAGAAGGAAUCAGGAAACAGUUAAAUUGACUACUGAAUACAGUAUUGGAUCAUGGAAUUUCUCUCUACAUGCAAAUAUGAGCAUUAUUCUUAUUCUUUAGAGAAAUUUCAGCAUUUUUCAGUGCCAUCAUUUUCUGGUUACCUACAUCAAUGAGGUACUCUAGUUGCACAAUUUAUCUUAACCUGUUCCUUUUUCAUGUGUUUCAUUUGUACAUUCUGUUCGUACUUUUGUUUCCCCUUCGAAAAGAACAGUCUGUUCCGACUGUUGUCCUUGCAGAAUUUACUUUCGGUGGCAGUUUUAUGAAAUUCUUCUCGAUUUCUUGUAGGAAGGAUGAGGUUGGAUGCCUGACCUGAUAUGACGACGAGGACGUCCCAAAGAUGAACCCCUUGGGGAAGCUUCUCCGGCUGAUCGGCGGCAGCUCGCCGGCGUCAUUGUAGGCGGCGCAGGUGAAAGCCAAGAGGAGAAGGAGCACGCCACCUGACAUCACCAUUGCACCUGCAACCGCCAUGACCUACAUAGACAGAAAAGAGUGAUGGGCUGAUGAACACAAACGGUGCCCAACAUAUAGCCUCUCGUACAUAGGGACUUGCUUAAUACCAUAUCAGGAUAUGUGUUUGGACUUGUGGACAAGGUGGGGAUAAUGGUUUUUCAGAGUGGUGACCACCCUGACAAAACACUAUCAACACACCCAUCAGUAGUCAGUGGGAGUACACUGUUUCCAUCCCAUAAUAAGUUUAUUUUUGAUUUCUCUCAUUUAUCUCAAAAUAAAUUCAUUUUGAGUAAUUAUUGUAACAGAGUUUGUGAAAGGAGGAAAUAAUUGCAUUAGGAGUAAUAAAGUAGGAAAUAAUUGUAUUAAGAUUAGAUAAAAUAGGGGUAUUCUAGUUUCUUUUGUUUGUA
Molecule: long non-coding RNA, 3171 nt
Organism: Oryza sativa Japonica Group (Japanese rice)
Lineage: Eukaryota; Viridiplantae; Streptophyta; Magnoliopsida; Poales; Poaceae
Source: RefSeq, a predicted model, not a curated record